GGUGUGUAAGCGUUGUGAGGCGUUGAGCUAACCAGUACUAAUUGCCCGUGAGGCUUGACCAUAUAACACCCAAACA
This 76-nucleotide ribosomal RNA is filed under the name Pseudomonas aeruginosa. RNAcentral describes it as "partial 23S ribosomal RNA". The record is from RNAcentral. Lineage: Bacteria; Pseudomonadati; Pseudomonadota; Gammaproteobacteria; Pseudomonadales; Pseudomonadaceae.